RNAcentral lists this transfer RNA (74 nucleotides) under Marchantia polymorpha subsp. ruderalis. RNAcentral describes it as "tRNA-Val". It matches the Rfam family "tRNA". Rfam says of the family: Transfer RNA (tRNA) molecules are approximately 80 nucleotides in length. Their secondary structure includes four short double-helical elements and three loops (D, anti-codon, and T loops). The record is from RNAcentral. Lineage: Eukaryota; Viridiplantae; Streptophyta; Marchantiopsida; Marchantiales; Marchantiaceae.
GGUUUUAUGGUGUAGUUGGUUAUCACGUCAGUCUAACACACUGAAGGUCUACAGUUCGGGCCUCGAUAAAACCG